CCUACGGGAGGCAGCAGUGGGGAAUAUUGGACAAUGGGGGGAACCCUGAUCCAGCCAUGCCGCGUGUGUGAAGAAGGCCUUAUGGUUGUAAAGCACUUUAAGCGAGGAGGAGGCUACUUUGGUUAAUACCCAGAGAUAGUGGACGUUACUCGCAGAAUAAGCACCGGCUAACUCUGUGCCAGCAGCCGCGGUAAUACAGAGGGUGCGAGCGUUAAUCGGAUUUACUGGGCGUAAAGCGUGCGUAGGUGGCUAAUUAAGUCAAAUGUGAAAUCCCCGAGCUUAACUUGGGAAUUGCAUUCGAUACUGGUUAGCUAGAGUAUGGGAGAGGAUGGUAGAAUUCCAGGUGUAGCGGUGAAAUGCGUAGAGAUCUGGAGGAAUACCGAUGGCGAAGGCAGCCAUCUGGCCUAAUACUGACACUGAUGGACGAAAGCAUGGGGAGCAAAC
This 444-nucleotide ribosomal RNA is filed under the name Acinetobacter halotolerans. Its description in RNAcentral is "bacterial SSU rRNA". It matches the Rfam family "Bacterial small subunit ribosomal RNA", at positions 338 to 773 of the family's 1533-position model. The record is from RNAcentral. Lineage: Bacteria; Pseudomonadati; Pseudomonadota; Gammaproteobacteria; Moraxellales; Moraxellaceae.